This 583-nucleotide small RNA is filed under the name Pongo abelii (Sumatran orangutan). RNAcentral's name for it is "retained intron". Lineage: Eukaryota; Metazoa; Chordata; Mammalia; Primates; Hominidae. The record is from RNAcentral.
GCAGAAGGGAAACGUGAAGAAGGUGAAGAUGGCGGUGGCCAGGACCGGGGUCCUGGGAGUCCAGUGGCUGCAAAGGGCAUCCUGGAACAUGAUGCCGCUGGGCGCACGGACAGCCUCCCACAUGACCAAGGACAUGUUCCCGGGGCCCUAUCCUAGGACCCCAGAAGAACGGGCUGCCGCCGCCAAGAAGUAUAAUAUGCGUGUGGAAGACUACGAACCUUACCCGGAUGAUGGCAUGGGGUGAGACAGAGAGGGUAUGGCGACUACCCGAAGCUCCCUGACCGCUCACAGCAUGAGAGGGAUCCAUGGUAUAGCUGGGACCAGCCGGACCUGAGGUUGAACUGGGGUGAACCAGUAAGAGAACCACAUCUCAUUUGACCUUCCUUCUCCCUUUGUCUUCUUGGCGAUUCUUUAGCUCAGAUGGCACUUCUUUGACCAAGUAACACUAAGCUUUUCUGCUCAAGGAAGCAAGGUCCAGUGAUGUGAGAUCUGAGAUUGCAUGUGGCACACUGAAUGGGACGUCUGGGAAUCAUGAAACUCUACUGUGAAAGUUGUGCACUUCCAUGAUUGAGCUGUCCCUAUU